AAACGUGAGCGCUAGCUUACGUGGAGGCGCUGGUGGGAUACUACCCUAGCUGUGUUGGCUUUCUAACCCGCACCACUUAUCGUGGUGGGAGACAGUGUCAGGCGGGCAGUUUGACUGGGGCGGUCGCUCCUAAAAGGUAACGGAGGCGCUCAAAGGUUCCCUCAGAAUGGUUGGAAAUCAUUCAUAGAGUGUAAAGGCAUAAGGGAGCUUGACUGCGAGACCUACAAGUCGAGCAGGGUCGAAAGACGGACUU
This 253-nucleotide ribosomal RNA is filed under the name Staphylococcus aureus. RNAcentral's name for it is "partial 23S ribosomal RNA". It matches the Rfam family "Bacterial large subunit ribosomal RNA", at positions 2160 to 2413 of the family's 2925-position model. RNAcentral also lists the same sequence under 1 other name. Lineage: Bacteria; Bacillati; Bacillota; Bacilli; Caryophanales; Staphylococcaceae. The record is from RNAcentral.